AGUUGAUUUCUCGUCAAGCCAUUCAUUCCAGCCACUAAUUAAGAGACUAAUGAUUAUGCUACCUUUGCACGGUAAAAAUACUGCGGCUCUUUAAAAAUCUGCUCAGUGAGCAGGCCAGACCUCAAAGUAUUUUCAAGAGGACAUGUUUUUGAUAAACAGGCGGAAAUCAAUUUUGCCUAUUUCCUUAUAAUAAA
This is a long non-coding RNA of Schistocerca cancellata (South American locust), 194 nucleotides long. RefSeq lists it as uncharacterized. The transcript is spliced from 2 exons. NCBI's taxonomy places the organism in Eukaryota, Metazoa, Arthropoda, Insecta, Orthoptera, Acrididae. The record is from RefSeq and is a predicted model, not a curated record.